RNAcentral lists this ribosomal RNA (254 nucleotides) under uncultured bacterium. Its description in RNAcentral is "partial 16S ribosomal RNA". It matches the Rfam family "Bacterial small subunit ribosomal RNA", at positions 524 to 776 of the family's 1533-position model. The record is from RNAcentral.
UACGGGGGGGGCAAGCGUUGUUCGGAAUUACUGGGCGUAAAGGGCGCGUAGGCGGCCACCGCAAGUCGACUGUGAAAUCUCCGGGCUUAACCCGGAAAGGUCAGCCGAUACUGCGGGGCUAGAGUGCAGAAGGGGCAACUGGAAUUCCUGGUGUAGCGGUGAAAUGCGUAGAUAUCAGGAGGAAUACCGGUGGCGAAAGCGACUCUCUGGACGGCAACUGACGCUGAGGCACGAAAGCGUGGGGAGCAAACAGG